GGGGCCUCGGGGAGGGGGCGCGGCCGCAGCGGAGCGCUCGGGGAGCGCGUCAAGCUUCUGAAACUGAUAUUGAACCAUCUGCAAGACAAAAUCCAGUGGCUUCCAACUUGACAGCAGCGGUUUCUAACUGGGUCUUUGGUCAUCCCUAGGAAAGUGGAUAAUCAGUACGCUCUGGGAUUGCUCUCAUGUGGGAGCCUGCAUACUGCAACACAGGCUUCUCAGAAAAACACCAUUGCCUUUCUGGGAGCAAUCUGCCUUCUUGUGUUCAUUCCUGACUUGAAACUCUGCUAAGAAAAAAUAGGUCUUGUGUGUUGGUAUUUUAAAACAUUUUUCAUACAAUGCAACUAUUUAUUAAAAAAAGAAUAAUGCCCAAGAGGUGGUACUUGAGAGCUUUCAGGUUUUUUGACACCUGGAUCUGAAAGAAGUAAAGUUUAUAUGAUCGGGUGUAGAUAUGAGUGUGUAUACUUUCUUUUGCUCUGUAUGUCAGUCAGAUUUGAUAAAAAGCUCAAAGGCUUCUUGUUAAAAAAAACAAAAAGAGAUGGACGGAUCAAGAUUCUACUGCUAUUGUCAUUCUUCCUUUUUCACCUGUUUCUUUCCUGAGGGAAGGACUGCAGCCUGCCCUCAACUCUUACAGUGUGUCAAGAGAAUCCCCAUGGAGAAAGCACUGUGGAGGAACUUCACACCAGAGAAUUCAGUGAUGAGAUGUGAAACAUUAGGAAAUCCGGACUUAUUAGUUCAGUUCAUGAAAGUACUUCUCUUUUUAUGGCAUGCGUUUUUCUCCAUUCAGGACAGUCAGUUUUGAUAUCUUUUGAAAACUUGAGUUUGCAGUUAAUUAACAUUCUUCAAAUGUAGAGCUCUUUAGGGAUGUGCUGGAGACUUUGGUGCCUAAUCUGUUACACUCAGUCUUCUGUUUCCAUUCAUCUCACCUUGUCAGUUACAGUUACUGGUUUUUUGCUUUUUGCCCAGCCAUUCCCAUCUCAGUUGGCUUGGUUCUGUCACAUUCGUUGUUCCCAGUUUCUCCAGUUCUCUCUCCCCAUUCUGUUUUUCUCUUCCAUGCUUUACUGGCCUUUCAGUUGCUAUUCUUGCCCCAGUUUUCUGUUCUGAUUCUUAGUGCCAGUCCUUCCCAUUUUUCCUUCCUGCAUGUUCCUCAUUCAGAGUCAUUUGUCCUUGAAAUUUCUUUCUUUGAGUUUCCUCUGAGAAUCCUUGUUCCAACCAUUUUGAGACCACAGUUUCAAAAGACUUCCAGUCUUACUUGCCCUCUGUUUAGAUUGACUGCCUUCUUCCUCCAUGCUGUCUAGGCCUGAUACAGAAGGGAUAAACUACCUGUUCUUCCUUUUUUUGCUAGCCUGUGCCUGACAUGAGCUCUAACAACUUGGAAGCAGGUGAAUUGUUUUGGCAAAAAUAUAUGUAACUGAAAACUGGCUUACGGGCAGUCUCAGAAACAAAGAGUUUUAGGAACCAAGCCCAGGACAAACAAAUUGGCCUUUUUAGCACUGAGGAUUUUAUUGAACAUUUUUAAAAGGAGUUGUCUUGUGUCUCUGCAAAAGCAGGAAAAGGCAAGGGGAGAAACAGGGAAGAAUAAAACUGGGCUAAAACAUGCCUGAGACUCCCCUGAAGGUACUGCUCUUGCACUGCUUAGUGCUCCUGCUGUACUCAGAGGGUGGGUGAGGUGAUCUUGGCAUAGAAUGAUGAUGUUGAAACUUGCAAUUAAUUUUUACUCCAUUUGAUUUAAAGAGUAAACCCAAUUCGGAUGAUUUUUGUUUGGGAAAGCUAAAAAAUAGCAAUGUGUGUUGCUUCCUCUUGGUCUUUUAAAAAAAUAGUCAAAAUCAUCCUUCACCCAGGCAUUACAGAUAUGUUGAAAAGGAUGAUGUAUGUGAUGCAGAUCCCCUUGAGUUCACUUUUAAAACAUCUCUUUCUGCAAAAGCUUUCCUCAGUUUAUGGUGCUAGAGGAUGGUGUCUCUGCUUACUUUCUUUAGUCACUUCCAUGUUGUUUAUAAUCUGAGGAAAGUUUGGUUGUUUCUUACUACCUUACAAUAUUAGUGUGACCAUUUUCUUGUGUAAUGUUGCUACUGAUUUCCACUGUAGAGUAAAUGCUGUCAUAUUUAGAAAUACAUGUCCACCUCCAGUGCUGUAUUUUACUGUGAAAGCUGUCAUAGAAUGAGUGACAAUUCACUUGCCAGCCUUGCUUUCUGUCCACCCACUCACAGUAUCUGGAAGAUCCUCAAGUUGAAUUGGUACACAAGCUUCUCAGCCAAAAGCUGUGCAAAUGACCUGGGAAAUCAACAGAGUUUUUGUUCCCUCAGAGUGGCAGGCAUUUGAAGGAGUAGUCUGAACUUACAUUGUACACUUUUUCCACUCUUAACUUUCUAUGCUGCUAUGUAUUGCCUUUUCUUUCUUUUAGUAUGUUAAUAUCUUUGGCUUUUUUUCUUUAAAUGAUUCUACUUUUUUUCCUCUGUACUAUGAUAGAAAGCAGAUAUUUCAAGUAUGUCUUAGGCACAAUAAAGUUGCUUUUCA
This is a long non-coding RNA of Strigops habroptila (Kakapo), 2514 nucleotides long. The record is from Ensembl. NCBI's taxonomy places the organism in Eukaryota, Metazoa, Chordata, Aves, Psittaciformes, Psittacidae.